Molecule: transfer RNA, 66 nt
Filed under: Phengodes sp. UPOL 000M29
Lineage: Eukaryota; Metazoa; Arthropoda; Insecta; Coleoptera; Phengodidae
Description: tRNA-Phe
Source: RNAcentral
AUACUUCAAGAUUAAUAAAUCUCCUUAAUAUCUUCAAUAUUAAACUCUCAAUAAGCUAUUAAAGUA